Molecule: ribosomal RNA, 468 nt
Filed under: uncultured bacterium
Lineage: Bacteria
Description: partial 16S ribosomal RNA
Rfam family: Bacterial small subunit ribosomal RNA
Source: RNAcentral
GACGAACGCUGGCGGCGUGCUUAACACAUGCAAGUCGAACGGAAAGGCCCUGCUUUUGUGGGGUGCUCGAGUGGCGAACGGGUGAGUAACACGUGAGUAACCUGCCCUUGACUUUGGGAUAACUUCAGGAAACUGGGGCUAAUACCGGAUAGGAGCUCCUGCUGCAUGGUGGGGGUUGGAAAGUUUAGGCGGUUGGGGAUGGACUCGCGGCUUAUCAGCUUGUUGGUGGGGUAGUGGAUUACCAAGGCUUUGACGGGUAGCCGGCCUGGGAGGGUGACCGGCCACAUUGGGACGGAGAUACGACCCAGACUCCUACGGGAGGCAGCAGAGGGGAAUAUUGCACAAUGGGAGGAGGGCUGAUGCGGCAACGCCGCGUGCGGGAUGACGGCCUUCGGGUUGUAAUCCGCAUUCGCCUGUGACGAAGCGUGAGUGACGGUAAUGGGUAAAGAAGCACCGGCUAACUACGUG